UACGUAGGGGGCUAGCGUUGUCCGGAAUCAUUGGGCGUAAAGCGCGUGUAGGCGGUCCGGUAAGUCCGCUGUGAAAGUCGGGGGCUCAACCCUCGGAUGCCGGUGGAUACUGUCGGGCUUGAGUACGGAAGAGGCGAGUGGAAUUCCUGGUGUAGCGGUGAAAUUCGUAGAUAUUGGGAAGAACACCGGUGGCGAAGGCGGCCAUCUGGACCGCAACUGACGCUGAGGCGCGAAAGCGUGGGGAGCAAACAGG
Molecule: ribosomal RNA, 253 nt
Filed under: uncultured bacterium
Lineage: Bacteria
Description: partial 16S ribosomal RNA
Rfam family: Bacterial small subunit ribosomal RNA
Source: RNAcentral